UCCGUAGGUGAACCUGCGGAAGGAUCAUUACCUAGAGUUGUAGGCUUUGCCUGCUAUCUCUUACCCAUGUCUUUUGAGUACCUUCGUUUCCUCGGCGGGUUCGCCCGCCGAUUGGACAAUUUAAACCAUUUGCAGUUGCAAUCAGCGUCUGAAAUAAUUUAAUAAAUUACAACUUUCAACAACGGAUCUCUUGGUUCUGGCAUCGAUGAAGAACGCAGCGAAAUGCGAUAAGUAGUGUGAAUUGCAGAAUUCAGUGAAUCAUCGAAUCUUUGAACGCACAUUGCGCCCCUUGGUAUUCCAUGGGGCAUGCCUGUUCGAGCGUCAUUUGUACCUUCAAGCUCUGCUUGGUGUUGGGUGUUUGUCUCGCCUCUGCGCGUAGACUCGCCUCAAAACAAUUGGCAGCCGGCGUAUUGAUUUCGGAGCGCAGUACAUCUCGCGCUUUGCACUCAUAACGACGACGUCCAAAAGUACAUUUUUACACUCUUGACCUCGGAUCAGGUAGGGAUACCCGCUGAACUUAAGCAUAUCAAUAAGCGGAGGA
RNAcentral lists this ribosomal RNA (541 nucleotides) under Phoma sp. NEFU20. RNAcentral's name for it is "eukaryotic LSU rRNA". The stretch from base 171 to 324 matches the Rfam family "5.8S ribosomal RNA". Lineage: Eukaryota; Fungi; Ascomycota; Dothideomycetes; Pleosporales; Didymellaceae. The record is from RNAcentral.